Molecule: ribosomal RNA, 705 nt
Filed under: uncultured bacterium
Lineage: Bacteria
Description: bacterial SSU rRNA
Rfam family: Bacterial small subunit ribosomal RNA
Source: RNAcentral
UCGAUUAGUUUGAUCCUGGCUCAGGACGAACGCUGGCGGCGUGCCUAACACAUGCAAGUGGAGCGACGAACCAGGGCUUGCCCUGGGGCCAAGCCGCGAACGGGUGAGUAACACGUGGGUAACCUGCCCCGAUGAUUGGGACAACCCGGGGAAACCCGGGCUAAUACCAAAUGUGCUCGCUGGUCAUAAGACUGGUGAGGAAAGGAAGCUUCGGCCUCCGCAUUGGGAUGGGCCCGCGGCCCAUUAGCUUGUUGGUGAGGUAAAGGCUCACCAAGGCGACGAUGGGUAGCUGGUCUGAGAGGACGAUCAGCCACACUGGGACUGAGACACGGCCCAGACUCCUACGGGAGGCAGCAGUGGGGAAUCUUGCGCAAUGCGCGAAAGCGUGACGCAGCAACGCCGCGUGAGGGAGGACGGCCUUCGGGUUGUAAACCUCUUUCAGUUGGGACGAAGCUUCGUCGGUUAAUAGCCGGCCGGAGUGACGGUACCUUCAGAAGAAGCCCCGGCUAACUACGUGCCAGCAGCCGCGGUAAUACGUAGGGGGCAAGCGUUGUCCGGAAUCAUUGGGCGUAAAGAGCGUGUAGGCGGUCCAGUCAGUCUGCUGUGAAAGUCCAGGGCUCAACCCUGGGAUGCCGGUGGAUACUGCUGGACUAGAGUCCGGAAGAGGCGAGUGGAAUUCCUGGUGUAGCGGUGAAAUGCGCAGAU